CCUUCAUUUUCAUAUUGCUUUCUCCAUGUUAUUCCACUAACCUAAAUUAGUGGCUAAUAUUACUUCUAACAAAGUUAAUGGCAAUUUAAUGGUUAGAAUUAAACCUCACUUUAAUCUAAUUUCCAUUAAUCACAAAUUCUAAUAUGAUGUCCAUUUUACCUCUUCACCACAAUUCAUUCAUAAAAUUAAGUUUAAAUUUAAUAUGUG
This 207-nucleotide long non-coding RNA is filed under the name Gossypium raimondii (Peruvian cotton). RNAcentral's name for it is "long non-coding RNA (GRAI_LNC007900)". The record is from RNAcentral. Lineage: Eukaryota; Viridiplantae; Streptophyta; Magnoliopsida; Malvales; Malvaceae.